RNAcentral lists this long non-coding RNA (554 nucleotides) under Salmo salar (Atlantic salmon). RNAcentral's name for it is "lncRNA (ENSSSAG00000084165.1)". The record is from RNAcentral. Lineage: Eukaryota; Metazoa; Chordata; Actinopteri; Salmoniformes; Salmonidae.
GCUGGCCGUAGAGGCUUUCAGCUGGCUGUAGAGGCUUUCAGCUGGCCGUAGAGGCUUUCAGCUGGCCGUAGAGGCUUUCAGCUGGCCGUAGAGGCUUUCAGCUGGCCGUAGAGGCUUUCAGCUGGCCGUAGAGGCUUUCAGCUGGCCGUAGAGGCUUUCAGCUGGCCGUAGAGGCUUUCAGCUGGCCAUAGUGGCUUUCAGCUGGCCGUAGUGGCUUUCAGCUGGCUGUAGAGGCUUUCAGCUGGCCGUAGAGGCUUUCAGCUGGCCGUAGAGGCUUUCGGCUGGCCGUAGAGGCUUUCAGCUGGCUGUAGAGGCUUUCGGCUGGCCGUAGAGGCUUUCAGCUGGCCGUAGAGGCUUUCAGCUGGCCGUAGAGGCUUUCAGCUGGCCGUAGAGGCUUUCAGCUGGCCGUAGAGGCUUUCAGCUGGCCGUAGAGGCUUUCGGCUGGCUUUCAGCUGGCCGUAGAGGCUUUCAGCUGGCCGUAGAGGCUUUCAGCUGGCCGUAGAGGCUUUCAGCUGGCCGUAGAGGCUUUCAGCUGGCCAUAGAGGCUUUCAGCU